UUAUCCUUAUUAAUUAUUAUUAUUGGUUAAUUUUACACAUAUCUUUUUAAAUAUAAUAAAUUUAAAUAUAUUUUUAUAAAAAUUUAAUUUUUAUAUAUUAGUUUUAUAAAAAUUAUGAUGUUUUUAAAUAUGUUUCUAUCAUUAGGAUCUGUUAGAAAAAAUUAGCUAAUCAUGCAUAAAAUAAUUAAUCCUAAUUAGCUCAUAAGAUGAAUUAAUUUUUUUUUAUCCUUUUUCAAUUAACAGUUGGGACUUUUGAAGAGAUAUAUUUAUGAUGGCAAAAAUAUCAUUUUUACUUAUAAAAUAAAUAGGACUUUAACACAGUAACAAAUCAGAAUGACAUAUUUGAAAUAUUAGGAUUUUUGCAAAGUUAAACUUUAUAAGAAUAUAUUUAUAAUUUACUAUAUUUGUAGGAAUCUGUAUGAAAUUAAUCGUUUUAUUAUUAUAACUAAAAGGGGGAAGGGG
Molecule: long non-coding RNA, 462 nt
Filed under: Ananas comosus (pineapple)
Lineage: Eukaryota; Viridiplantae; Streptophyta; Magnoliopsida; Poales; Bromeliaceae
Description: long non-coding RNA (ACOM_LNC033868)
Source: RNAcentral